This is a long non-coding RNA of Cydia splendana, 566 nucleotides long. RefSeq lists it as uncharacterized. Lineage: Eukaryota; Metazoa; Arthropoda; Insecta; Lepidoptera; Tortricidae. The transcript has 3 exons. The record is from RefSeq and is a predicted model, not a curated record.
UAUAUGUCACGUCAAAAUUAUAAAAAUGCAAAAACUAGCAAUAAUUUCCUUCUCAUCUUCUGCUUAAAGGCCACCAGUUCGACAGGCGACAUCUCCGCAGAACAACUCAGUGCAUUACCACACGAUACCUACCCAUAAUUUACCAUGUCGCUAUUGUUUGCUGUCAUUGCGACCAUCCUGAUUUUCACAAUAUUCCGGGACUACUUGAUUAGACUGCUGGUAUGCUCCGAUCUGAAUUCAAGACAUAAUGAAAAGAAAAAGGAAUAUGGAUGCUUUUCUCUUUAUCCCCAGGAUAAAAAAAAGAUAUCGAGAGAGCAGACGAAAAAGGUCUAUAAUUGUAAGGCAUCCUUAUCAAGCCAAUGGUUCCCAAAACACAAGACGGACCCCCGAAUCUUUGUUGACGACGAAGAGAUUGGAAAUCAGCCUGUAGUCAACUAAUAACAUUGUACCAUACCUAUGACCAUACUUUGCUUGACUCAAAAUUUACAGUAGGUAUUUCUCUUUUAUAAUACCUCUACAUACCCACAUUGUCAUGUGUUACUUCACUGUUGAAAUAUAUUUGUAUA